GGGCCUGUAGCUCAGCGGUGAGAGCAGUCGGCUCAUAACCGAUUGGUCGCUGGUUCGAAUCCAGCCGGGCCCA
This 73-nucleotide transfer RNA is filed under the name Pseudomonadota bacterium. Its description in RNAcentral is "tRNA-Ile". It matches the Rfam family "tRNA". Rfam says of the family: Transfer RNA (tRNA) molecules are approximately 80 nucleotides in length. Their secondary structure includes four short double-helical elements and three loops (D, anti-codon, and T loops). Further hydrogen bonds mediate the characteristic L-shaped molecular structure. tRNAs have two regions of fundamental functional importance: the anti-codon, which is responsible for specific mRNA codon recognition, and the 3' end, to which the tRNAs corresponding amino acid is attached (by aminoacyl-tRNA synthetases). tRNAs cope with the degeneracy of the genetic code in two manners: having more than one tRNA (with a specific anti-codon) for a particular amino acid; and 'wobble' base-pairing, i.e. permitting non-standard base-pairing at the 3rd anti-codon position. RNAcentral also lists the same sequence under 5 other names. The record is from RNAcentral. Lineage: Bacteria; Pseudomonadati; Pseudomonadota.